CGCCUCUUGAUUUCAAUAAGAGGUCCAGCCUGCCCAGUGACUCUGUUCAACGGCCGCGGUAUCCUAACCGUGCGAAGGUAGCGUAAUCACUUGUUCUUUAAUUGUGGACUAGUAUGAAUGGCACCACGAGGGUUAUACUGUCUCCUUUUUCUAAUCAAUGAAACUAAUCUCCCCGUGAAGAAGCGGGGAUAAAAAUAUAAGACGAGAAGACCCUAUGGAGCUUUAAACAUUUUAGCAGCUACCACACAACAUGUAAUUUUCUGAACCACUUAUUUACAAGGUAACAUGACUAUAAGUUUUUGGUUGGGGUGACCACGGAGCACAAUAAAACCUCCACGCCGAAAGAUAUGACCAUCUAAGCUAAGACCCACAUGUCCAAGCAUCAGCACACUGACACUCCUUGACCCAAUACAGUUGAGCAACGAACCAAGUUACCCUAGGGAUAACAGCGCAAUCCACUUCAAGAGCCCCUAUCGACAGGUGGGUUUACGACCUCGAUGUUGGAUCAGGGUAUCCAAGUGGUGCAGCCGCUACUAAAGGUUCGUUUGUUCAACGAUUAAAACCCUACG
RNAcentral lists this ribosomal RNA (569 nucleotides) under Sclerophrys taiensis. RNAcentral's name for it is "partial 16S ribosomal RNA". It matches the Rfam family "Bacterial large subunit ribosomal RNA", at positions 1819 to 2600 of the family's 2925-position model. The record is from RNAcentral. Lineage: Eukaryota; Metazoa; Chordata; Amphibia; Anura; Bufonidae.